UUCUCCUCUGUAACCCCCAUCUCUUUCCUCUCCCCAGGUGCCUGGGAGGAGGAAAGACCCAGCUAAGAACAGAGCAGCAAUCUGAAGCCACGUACCACAGGCUCCCCACUGCCACCCGCAGCCUCUGGACUUCACUUCUAAUAGGUACUGUGGAAGAGCCUCAAGGAGAGGUUUUGUCUUGCUGACACAUCUUAUUUCUACUCUGGUUGGCACCGAGAAGGCUAUUUUGUUUUUGUCUGGUUCCAGCUGGGCUAACAUGGGGCCCUGUCUGCUGAGCUGGUGUGGCUAGAAGAUUGUUCCCAGCUCUGUCAGCCACUGUGCAAAAGACCUUCUGCCGGCUUACGUGCCCCACCUCAGCCAGCUCACCUGCACACCCCCACAGUGCUUCUGAUCCCCAGAUGCUGUGGAACCAAAGAACAGCUUUGGUCAAGGAUUAUGCUAUGUGAACAAAUACCUCUCUACCUCAUCCCGGUUAAGUUACAACUAGCCCAACGCUCUCCAGGAUCAACAUAUAUGUGGCCCAGCUAUGUCGGUGAAGCUAACUAAUUGCCCUCAGCACUACUGUGCACCAUCAAUAGUACUUUGUGGUGGUGAACAAUUCUCAUCUGACUUCCCAAUAUUCAGCUGUAAAAGUGCCUUCCCACCACGACACCCACUUUUAGACAGUCGUAUUAGAAGACAGAAUCUGAACAGCUAAUUCAGUGGAUAUUAACUGAGCAACUACUAUGUGGCCAGCAAUAUUCUGAGUUCUGGGGGAUACAGAAACAACCAAAACACAGCCUCUGUCCUCAAGGGCCCUAUCAUCUAACCAUGGAAAUGGACCAGAAAAUAAAGGUAGAAUGACUGUAGAGCUGAGUCCUAUGGGGACCUGGAAGGGGGCCACAACUCAGCCUCAGCCGGGAGAGAUUAACUCCAGAGAAGAUGAAGUAAAUGAAACCUUGCCUGGCAUACAAAGGUGGAAAAGAACAACUAUUGUUACAGAAGGAUCUACAGAUUUGCAAGAAUGAAAACUCAGAGGACAUUAGGAAUAUGAGAAAGAGUCAAAAAGCAGCAUGGUAGAACAAAUUUUGCAUGUGGCUUGGGCAGGAGCCAGAGGACACCCAGAAGACUGGCAAGGGCAAGUCCAUAGUGCCUAUUGUGCCGGGCUGAAGAGUUUGGGCUGAUUCUGAAAUUAUGGGAGCCAUCCAGGGAUUUUAAGCAUGAGGGUCACGUGAUCACAAUCGAAUAUUAGAUCACAAUGGUACUAAGGUCAUGAAGAACUAAGGGAAGGUGGAAGAGCUGUGGACAGGCUAUAAAAGUUAUUCAUUGUUUUUUGGGUGCCUGGCAUUUAAUAUUUCCCUUCAAUUGCUCUUCCCCAUCUUCCUGUUAGCACCCUGAUAUCCCUUUUGGGAGAAACUCCCCACCAUUUUGUGUAGUUGUAGAAGGAAA
Talpa occidentalis (Iberian mole) is the source of this 1428-nucleotide long non-coding RNA. RefSeq lists it as uncharacterized. NCBI's taxonomy places the organism in Eukaryota, Metazoa, Chordata, Mammalia, Eulipotyphla, Talpidae. The record is from RefSeq and is a predicted model, not a curated record. The transcript has 3 exons.